This 468-nucleotide ribosomal RNA is filed under the name uncultured bacterium. RNAcentral's name for it is "partial 16S ribosomal RNA". It matches the Rfam family "Bacterial small subunit ribosomal RNA", at positions 28 to 507 of the family's 1533-position model. The record is from RNAcentral.
GACGAACGCUGGCGGCGUGCUUAACACAUGCAAGUCGAACGGAAAGGCCCUGCUUUUGUGGGGUGCUCGAGUGGUGAACGGGUGAGUAACACGUGAGUAACCUGCCCUUGACUUUGGUAUAACUUCAGGAAACUGGGGCUAAUACCGGAUAGGAGCUCCUGCUGCAUGGUGUGGGUUGGAAAGUUUCGGCGGUUGGGGAUGGACUCGCGGCUUAUCAGCUUGUUUGUGGGGUAGUGGCUUACCAAGGCUUUGACGGGUAGCCGGCCUGAGAGGGUGACCGGCGACAUUGGGACUGAGAGACGGACCAGACUACUACGGGAGGCAGCAGUGGGGAAUAGUGCACAAUGGGCGGAAGCCUGAUGCAGAAACGCCGCGUGCGGGAUGACGGCCUUCGGGUUGUAAACCGCUUUCGCCUGUGACGAAGCGUGAGUGACGGUAAUGGGUAAAGAAGCACCGGCUAACUACGUG